UGGGGAAUAUUGCACAAUGGGCGAAAGCCUGAUGCAGCAACGCCGCGUGAGUGAUGAAGGCCUUCGGGUUGUAAAGCUCUGUCUUUUGGGACGAUAAUGACGGUACCAAAGGAGGAAGCCACGGCUAACUACGUGCCAGCAGCCGCGGUAAUACGUAGGUGGCAAGCGUUGUCCGGAUUUACUGGGCGUAAAGGAUGCGUAGGCGGAUUUUUAAGUGAGAUGUGAAAACCCUAAGCUUAACUUGGGGACUGCAUUUCAUACUGGAAAUCUAGAGUGCGGGAGAGGAGAAUGGAAUUCCUAGUGUAGCGGUGAAAUGCGUAGAGAUUAGGAAGAGCACCAGUGGCGAAGGCGAUUCUCUGGACCGUAACUGACGCUGAGGCAUGAAAGCGUGGGUAGCAAACAGGAUUAGAUACCCUGGUAGUCCACGCCGUAAACGAUGAGUACUAGGUGUAGGAGGUAUCGACCCCUUCUGUGCCGCAGUUAACACAAUAAGUACUCCGCCUGGGAAGUACGAUCGCAAGAUUAAAACUCAAAGGAAUUGAC
This 543-nucleotide ribosomal RNA is filed under the name uncultured bacterium. RNAcentral's name for it is "partial 16S ribosomal RNA". It matches the Rfam family "Bacterial small subunit ribosomal RNA", at positions 355 to 914 of the family's 1533-position model. The record is from RNAcentral.